This is a non-coding RNA of Homo sapiens (human), 117 nucleotides long. It matches the Rfam family "Metazoan signal recognition particle RNA". Rfam says of the family: The signal recognition particle (SRP) is a universally conserved ribonucleoprotein. It is involved in the co-translational targeting of proteins to membranes. The eukaryotic SRP consists of a 300-nucleotide 7S RNA and six proteins: SRPs 72, 68, 54, 19, 14, and 9. Lineage: Eukaryota; Metazoa; Chordata; Mammalia; Primates; Hominidae. The record is from Rfam.
GCUGGGCGCGGUGGCUCACGCCUGUAAUCCCAGCACCUUGGGAGGCUGAGGCGGGUGGAUCACCUGAGGUCAGGAGGUCGAGACCAGCCUGAACAACAUGGUGAAACCCCGUCUCUA